Camelus ferus (Wild Bactrian camel) is the source of this 57-nucleotide transfer RNA. It matches the Rfam family "tRNA", at positions 8 to 63 of the family's 71-position model. From Rfam's summary of the family: Transfer RNA (tRNA) molecules are approximately 80 nucleotides in length. The record is from Rfam. NCBI's taxonomy places the organism in Eukaryota, Metazoa, Chordata, Mammalia, Artiodactyla, Camelidae.
UAGCUCAGUGGUAGAGCACGUGCUUAGCAGGCACGAGGUCCUGGGUUCAAUCCCCAG